ACUUAAAUUGAAGAGUUUGAUCAUGGCUCAGAUUGAACGCUGGCGGCAGGCCUAACACAUGCAAGUCGAGCGGUAGCACAGAGAGCUUGCUCUCGGGUGACGAGCGGCGGACGGGUGAGUAAUGUCUGGGAAACUGCCUGAUGGAGGGGGGUAA
Molecule: ribosomal RNA, 154 nt
Filed under: Klebsiella pneumoniae
Lineage: Bacteria; Pseudomonadati; Pseudomonadota; Gammaproteobacteria; Enterobacterales; Enterobacteriaceae
Description: partial 16S ribosomal RNA
Rfam family: Bacterial small subunit ribosomal RNA
Source: RNAcentral